RNAcentral lists this long non-coding RNA (1177 nucleotides) under Lactuca sativa (garden lettuce). RNAcentral's name for it is "long non-coding RNA (LSAT_LNC003323)". Lineage: Eukaryota; Viridiplantae; Streptophyta; Magnoliopsida; Asterales; Asteraceae. The record is from RNAcentral.
UGGAAUCAUGUUGGUACAAAAUCAGGUUGAGAAGCUGCAGGGGAAAGUAACUAAAAAUAAUUUUAAAAUGAUAAAAUCUAAACUCUUAAAAUUGUAUGUAAAAACUUACAGAUGUAUAUAGUUUCUACUUCUAUGUAUAGGUGAGGGAUGGCUCUAAGUACAAGUCUGAAUCCUCAUUGUUUCCUGCAUCAACAAUAACCGGAUUCAAGUCUGAAUCUGAAUCCUCAUUAAAAAAGCAUUGUAACAUGUGAUGAAUGUUGUGAACAAGUAAACAAAUAACUUUAUACCUCAACAUUUGGUUGUCAGCAUCUGAUGCAUACCACAUUUGCAAUUUGAAGUCUAUAAAAAAUAUGGAAAGGCUUUUCAUUAUUACCCUAUUAGACAUCUUGCAUGUAUAUUAAUAUUAAGUAAUUAACAUUGGGGAUUCAAUAUGUGUUGAUAAAUGUGGCAGAUUAUGUGACCCUAAUAACAACCGAUGAUGACAAUGUUGUUGUUAGCCACAAUUGGUUAUUCACAAAAAGAGAUUUGAGAAAGACAUUCAUGAUCUGAUCUGAUAAAAUUGGUAAUUCAUAAGAACACAUUCUGAAACAAGCGUACCAGACACGCUAAAUCAGAUUUUACAGAGAAAAAAAUCAAUAAAAAGAUAGAGGAGAAAACCCUAACGAGACGAUCAACAAAACUAUGUAGUUUCCUUAUGUUUUUAAGUUGCAAUACAACUUGUGCAAUUAGAAAACCAGAGUUUAUUGAAAAAAAAAACGCAACUACGCUUCGAUUUUUCUUUUCUCCAUACAUACAGAGGAGAUUACAACAUCUGAAAUACAGAAAACCCUAGAGAAGUAAAAUAAAAGGGAAAAGAGAAAAAUGAUAAGAAUGAAAACUUACAGACAACUUCUUAGGAAUACCGACAUGGUUGUGACUUAUGAGUUGUGAGUGUCCUACGAAGGGUGGGGGUGCUUGUGUCUCCGGUGAGCUGAGUUGAGUUACAGAGGUUGCGACGAGUCGUCUCCGACGGUGUUUGGAGAGCGGAGCGGGAUGAUUGAAGUGAAGUGAAGAAGGAAGAGUGGAGAACGUAACGUAUAUUUUAUGCGCCAAUACACCGACCCAAACUUUUGGCUUCCCAAUUCCAACGGUCUUUUAUAAAACCUUUCCAAGAUUAAAACCAUUUACACGUCUCCAG